GACGAACGCUGGCGGCGUGCCUAACACAUGCAAGUCGUGCGAGAAAGUUCCUUCGGGAGCGAGUAAAGCGGCGCACGGGUGAGUAACACGUAGGUAACCUGCCCCCCAGUCUGGAACAACUAGAGGAAACUCUAGCUAAUGCCGGAUGAGACCACGAUCCCUUCGGGGGUUGCGGCCAAAGAUGGCCUCUACUUGUAAGCUAUCGCUGAGGGAUGGGCCUGCGGGCCAUUAGCUUGUUGGUGAGGUAACGGCUCACCAAGGCUGUGAUGGCUAGCUGGUCUGAGAGGAUGACCAGCCACACUGGGACUGAGACACGGCCCAGACUCCUACGGAGGCAGCAGUGGGAAUAUUGCGCAAUGGGCGAAAGCCUGACGCAGCGACGCCGCGUGGGUGAUGAAGGCC
RNAcentral lists this ribosomal RNA (402 nucleotides) under uncultured bacterium. Its description in RNAcentral is "bacterial SSU rRNA". It matches the Rfam family "Bacterial small subunit ribosomal RNA", at positions 28 to 416 of the family's 1533-position model. The record is from RNAcentral.